RNAcentral lists this ribosomal RNA (1244 nucleotides) under metagenome. Its description in RNAcentral is "bacterial LSU rRNA". It matches the Rfam family "Bacterial large subunit ribosomal RNA", at positions 1564 to 2816 of the family's 2925-position model. The record is from RNAcentral.
UGAAUACGAGACGCUAAGGCGUCGAAGUAGUGUAUGUCAUACUUCCAAGAAAAGCUUGCACUGUCAUAAGUAAAAAAUGCCUGUACCAUAACCGACACAGGUGGGUAGGUAGAGUAUACUAAGGGGCGCGAGAUAACUCUCUCUAAGGAACUCGGCAAAAUAACUCCGUAACUUCGGGAGAAGGAGUACCUUAUUCUAUAAGGUUGCAAUAACAAGAUCCAAGCAACUGUUUAUCAAAAACACAGGUCUCCGCUAAGUCGUAAGACGAUGUAUGGGGGCUGACGCCUGCCCAGUGCCAGAAGGUUAAAGAAGUCGGUUAGCAUUAGCGAAGCUGGUAACUGAAGCCCUGGUGAACGGCGGCCGUAACAAUAACGGUCCUAAGGUAGCGAAAUUCCUUGUCGGGUAAGUUCCGACCCGCACGAAAGGCGUAAUGAUUUGGAUACUGUCUCGGAGAGGGGCUCGGUGAAAUAGACUUGUCUGUGAAGAUGCGGACUACCUGCACCAGGACAGAAAGACCCUAUGAAGCUUUACUGUAACUUGAAAUUGAAAUUGGACUUUAUUCGCGCAGUAUAGGUGGGAGGUGUUGAUUAUAAUCUUGCGGGAUUAUUGGAGCCAUCAGUGAGAUACCACUCUUGUAAUGUUAGAUUUCUAACUUUGAAUCAUUAUCUGGUCAAAGGACAGUUUCAGGCGGGCAGUUUGACUGGGGCGGUCGCCUCCCAAACGGUAACGGAGGCGUACAAAGGUUUCCUCUGAACGGGUAGAAAUCGUAUCUAGAGUGUAAAGGCAUAAGGAAGCUUGACUGUGAGACCUACAAGUCGAACAGGGACGAAAGUCGGUCUUAGUGAUCUGACGGUACUGAGUGGAAAGGCCGUCACUCAACGGAUAAAAGUUACUCUAAGGAUAACAGGCUGAUCUCCCCCAAGAGUUCACAUCGACGGGGAGGUUUGGCACCUCGAUGUCGGCUCAUCGCAUCCUGGGGCGGUAGUACGUCCCAAGGGUUGGGCUGUUCGCCCAUGAAAGCGGUACGCGAGCUGGGUUCAGAACGUCGUGAGACAGUUCGGUCCAUAUCCGGUGUAGGCGUUAGAAUAUUGAGAGGAGCCUUCUUUAGUACGAGAGGACCGAGAAGGACAUACCUCUGGUGUACCAGUUAUCGUGCCAACGGUAAACGCUGGGUAGCUAUGUAUGGAGUGGAUAACCGCUGAAAGCAUCUAAGUGGGAAGCCCACCUCAAGAUAAGUAUUCUCC